GAUGAAGAACGUAGCGAAAUGCGAUAAGUAGUGUGAAUUGCAGAAUUCAGUGAAUCAUCGAAUCUUUGAACGCACAUUGCGCCCUUUGGUAUUCCUUAGGGCAUGCCUGUUCGAGCGUCAUUUAAACCUUCAAGCUAAGCUUGGUGUUGGGUGACUGUCCGCUUCACGGCGGACUCGCCUCAAAAUUAUUGGCGGCCGGUACAUUGGCUUCGAGCGCAGCAGAAACGCGAACUCGGGCCCGUCGUAUUGGCUCCCAGAAGCUAUCUUCACAAUUUUGACCUCGGAUCAGGUAGGGAUACCCGCUGAACUUAAGCAUAUCAAUAAGAGAGGA
This 331-nucleotide unclassified non-coding RNA is filed under the name soil metagenome. RNAcentral describes it as "partial contains 5.8S ribosomal RNA, internal transcribed spacer 2, and large subunit ribosomal RNA". The stretch from base 1 to 120 matches the Rfam family "5.8S ribosomal RNA", at positions 35 to 154 of the family's 154-position model. The record is from RNAcentral.